AACGUACGCUGGCGGCAUGCCUAACACAUGCAAGUCGAACGAGACCUUCGGGUCUCGUGGCGCAAGGGUGCGUCACGCGUGGGAACCUGCCUCUAGGUUCGGAAUAACCCAGAGAAAUUUGAGCUAAUACCGGAUGAUGUCUUCGGCCCAAAGAUUUAUCGCCUUUAGAUGGGCCGGCGUUGGAUUAGCUAGUUGGUGGGGUAAAGGCCUACCAAGGCGACGCUCCAUAGCUGGUCGGAGAGGAUGAUCAGCCACACUGGGACUGUGACACGGCCCAGACUCCUACGGGAGGCAGCAGUUGGGAAUAUUGGACAAUUGGCGAAAGCCUGAUCCAGCAAUGCCGCGUGAGUGAUGAAGGCCUUAGGGUUGUAAAGCUCUUUUACCCGAGAUCAUAAUGACAGUUUCGGGAGUAUAUGCACCGGCUAACUCCUUG
RNAcentral lists this ribosomal RNA (433 nucleotides) under uncultured bacterium. Its description in RNAcentral is "partial 16S ribosomal RNA". It matches the Rfam family "Bacterial small subunit ribosomal RNA", at positions 29 to 507 of the family's 1533-position model. The record is from RNAcentral.